AGGGGUCGGAGUGUGUGUGUGUGUGUGUGGGGGGGUGUCCGUGUUUGUGAUCUGAACCUUUGGUACCUACAAGGAGGGUGUCUCACCGAACGGUAGCUAAAACCUCACCAGGACCGCACGGAACUGUGGAGACACAGCCGAAGGCGCCGCCGGAGCUUCAUAUCUGGGCCGGACCCCAGACCCAGCGUUGCAAGGAUCCCCCCGCCCGGAUCACAGAUGAUGGCCAUGCCUCCAUUGGAAAAUUUGCAACUUUCACUAGAUUUCACUUGCUGGUACUCCCAACUGUCUGGCUCAUUGAGCACUGGGCAGAGCGGUGUUCUUUCAAUGUCCAACAUCUGGAAACAGGUGUGAGCUCUCAUCAGGGUCCUGUCUCCACUGUGGGUAUCUGUCUAAACUCCCUUCUCUUCAGGCAUCGCAUAUAAGUUGCGACCUGGGCCUGGAAGUGAGGAAUAUGCUUCGGUCUGCACUUGUGCUAAAACCACGGACAGCAGUGACGUCAAAUCUUGAGGCUACCGUGUGAAUCAGAAGUUUUUCGCUGAUGGGGAUUGAUGGAUUGGUGGAAGCGCUGGUGACAUGAGAAUCCGUUUCUAA
Molecule: long non-coding RNA, 591 nt
Organism: Onychomys torridus (southern grasshopper mouse)
Lineage: Eukaryota; Metazoa; Chordata; Mammalia; Rodentia; Cricetidae
Exons: 5
Source: RefSeq, a predicted model, not a curated record